RNAcentral lists this ribosomal RNA (1487 nucleotides) under metagenome. Its description in RNAcentral is "bacterial SSU rRNA". It matches the Rfam family "Bacterial small subunit ribosomal RNA". The record is from RNAcentral.
AGAGUUUGAUCAUGGCUCAGGAUGAACGCUGGCGGCGUGCUUAACACAUGCAAGUCGAACGAAGCACCUUGAUUUGAUUCUUCGGAUGAAGAUCUUGGUGACUGAGUGGCGGACGGGUGAGUAACGCGUGGGUAACCUGCCUCAUACAGGGGGAUAACAGUUAGAAAUGACUGCUAAUACCGCAUAAGACCACAGCACCGCAUGGUGCAGGGGUAAAAACUCCGGUGGUAUGAGAUGGACCCGCGUCUGAUUAGGUAGUUGGUGGGGUAACGGCCUACCAAGCCGACGAUCAGUAGCCGACCUGAGAGGGUGACCGGCCACAUUGGGACUGAGACACGGCCCAAACUCCUACGGGAGGCAGCAGUGGGGAAUAUUGCACAAUGGGGGAAACCCUGAUGCAGCGACGCCGCGUGAGCGAUGAAGUAUUUCGGUAUGUAAAGCUCUAUCAGCAGGGAAGAAAAUGACGGUACCUGACUAAGAAGCACCGGCUAAAUACGUGCCAGCAGCCGCGGUAAUACGUAUGGUGCAAGCGUUGUCCGGAUUUACUGGGUGUAAAGGGCGUGUAGGCGGAGAUGCAAGUUAGGAGUGAAAUCUAUGGGCUCAACCCAUAAACUGCUUCUAAAACUGUAUCCCUUGAGUAUCGGAGAGGCAAGCGGAAUUCCUAGUGUAGCGGUGAAAUGCGUAGAUAUUAGGAGGAACACCAGUGGCGAAGGCGGCUUGCCGGACGACAACCGACGCUGAGGCGCGAAAGCGUGGGGAGCAAACAGGAUUAGAUACCCUGGUAGUCCACGCUGUAAACGAUGAAUACUAGGUGUGGGGGGACUGACCCCCUCCGUGCCGCAGUUAACACAAUAAGUAUUCCACCUGGGGAGUACGACCGCAAGGUUGAAACUCAAAGGAAUUGACGGGGGCCCGCACAAGCAGUGGAUUAUGUGGUUUAAUUCGACGCAACGCGAAGAACCUUACCAGGACUUGACAUCCAACUAACGAAGUAGAGAUACAUCAGGUGCCCUUCGGGGAAAGUUGAGACAGGUGGUGCAUGGUUGUCGUCAGCUCGUGUCGUGAGAUGUUGGGUUAAGUCCCGCAACGAGCGCAACCCCUAUUGUUAGUUGCUACGAAAGAGCACUCUAGCGAGACUGCCGUUGACAAAACGGAGGAAGGCGGGGACGACGUCAAAUCAUCAUGCCCCUUAUGUCCUGGGCUACACACGUAAUACAAUGGCACUAAACAAAGUGAAGCGAGACAGUGAUGUUAAGCAAAGCACAAAAACAGUGUCCCAGUUCGGAUUGUAGUCUGCAACUCGACUACAUGAAGCCGGAAUCGCUAGUAAUCGCAGAUCAGCAUGCUGCGGUGAAUACGUUCCCGGGUCUUGUACACACCGCCCGUCACACCAUGGGAGUCGGAAACGCCCGAAGCCGGUGGCCUAACCGUAAGGAAGGACCCGUCGAAGGCGGGUUCGGUGACUGGGGUGAAGUCGUAACAAGGUA